UACGGAGGGGGCGAGCGUUAUUCGGAAUUAUUGGGCGUAAAGGGCGCGUAGGCGGCUGGGUAAGUCAAAGGUGAAAUCCCUCGGCUCAACUGAGGAACUGCCUUUGAAACUGUCCAGCUCGAGGCCGGGAGGGGGUGGCGGAAUUCCCAGUGUAGCGGUGAAAUGCGCAGAUAUCAGGAGGAACACCAAUAGCGAAGGCAGCUCGCUGGGACGGUACUGACGCUAAGGCGCGAAAGCGUGGGGAGCGAACAGG
RNAcentral lists this ribosomal RNA (253 nucleotides) under uncultured bacterium. Its description in RNAcentral is "partial 16S ribosomal RNA". It matches the Rfam family "Bacterial small subunit ribosomal RNA", at positions 524 to 776 of the family's 1533-position model. The record is from RNAcentral.